AUUGAACGCUGGCGGCAGGCCUAACACAUGCAAGUCGAGCGGAUGAAGGGAGCUUGCUCCUGGAUUCAGCGGCGGACGGGUGAGUAAUGCCUAGGAAUCUGCCUGGUAGUGGGGGAUAACGUCCGGAAACGGGCGCUAAUACCGCAUACGUCCUGAGGGAGAAGGGGGGGGAUCUUCGGACCUCCCGCUUUCAGAUGAGCCUAGGUCGGAUUAGCUAGUUGGUGGGGUAAAGGCCUACCAAGGCGACGAUCCGUAACUGGUCUGAGAGGAUGAUCAGUCACACUGGAACUGAGACACGGUCCAGACUCCUACGGGAGGCAGCAGUGGGGAAUAUUGGACAAUGGGCGAAAGCCUGAUCCAGCCAUGCCGCGUGUGUGAAGAAGGUCUUCGGAUUGUAAAGCACUUUAAGUUGGGAGGAAGGGCAGUAAGUUAAUACCUUGCUGUUUUGACGUUACCAACAGAAUAAGCACCGGCUAACUUCGUG
Molecule: ribosomal RNA, 484 nt
Filed under: uncultured bacterium
Lineage: Bacteria
Description: partial 16S ribosomal RNA
Rfam family: Bacterial small subunit ribosomal RNA
Source: RNAcentral